This 2023-nucleotide long non-coding RNA is filed under the name Betta splendens (Siamese fighting fish). RNAcentral's name for it is "lncRNA (ENSBSLG00000022818.1)". Lineage: Eukaryota; Metazoa; Chordata; Actinopteri; Anabantiformes; Osphronemidae. The record is from RNAcentral.
AUGUUUAUUGUCAAUCUAAUGUCACUCACCCACUCACUUUGCAAUGCGCUCAUCAUGCUUAAUCACUCACUUUCCUUUCACUUUAAUUUCCUUCCCUUUACUCCUUUUCCUUCACCUACUUUCACUCUACACUGUGUACAUCCUUCUUUUCUCUCUUAUCUCCCCUCCUCAAUUCCUUUGCUUCCAACCUCAUCAGCUUUGCCUCCUCCUUCUCUCUUGUCUCUUUUUCUUUCUUUUUUGCCUUUUCCUUCUUUUUCAGUUCUCUUUGAUCCUCCACGACCUCCUGUUUCCAUUCUUUUUUUUAGUUGUUUAAAUUUCCUAAUGUCCUCCUGUUUACUCUCCUUAAGUUGUUUCUCUCGAUCCUUGAGUUCUUUUGCCUUUUCUUUAUUUUUCCUCCUUCAUUCCUUUUCUCUCAACUUCCUCAACCUUACCUCUUCUUUCUCUCAAAUUUUUUGUGUCUUCAUCUCCACCACCUCUGCCGCCUCCUCCUCCGCCGCUGACUCCUCCUCUGCAGCCUCCUCCUCCACCUCCUCCUCCUCUUCCUCCGCCGCCUCCUCAUUUGUCACCUCCUCCUGGCAUGGUGGUGUAGUGGGUAGCACCGUCUCCUCACAGCAAGGUACCGUCUCCUCUCGAUUCCCGGAGGCGGCCCUGGUGCCUUUCUUCCCAUGUUUGCGUGGGUUCUCGCUGGGUUCCCACAGUCCAAAGACGUGCAUUAGGUUGAUUGGCCUCUCUCCAUUGCCCAUAGGUGUGAGUGUGUGUGUGAAUGGUUGUAUGUCUCUGUAUUGCCCUGCAAUGGACUGGCGACCCAGCCACGGUGUGCUCUGCCUCUUGCCCAUAGACAGCUGGGUUAGGUUCCAGCACCCCCGCGACCCCGCAUAUAGGAAUAAGCGGCGUGGAAAAUGGAUGGAUAAUUAGGAUGAAAACUAUCGAAGCCUCACAUUUGAGCCAUGUUUGUUAACAGAAACACAUUUUAUACAUGAAGAAAGGCUAAACGCUGACCUUUUACAGACGGCAGCCGUACUAAGUAAGAUUUCCAGGAAACCAGCCUCAAUAGUUUUAUUUAUAAAAACAUGAUGCUAUACUCAAAGAUGUAUUGUGUAGAUAUAUUUAUAAAUAUUUCCAGGUAUGUCAUACAAUCAACUUGAUUAAGGUCAGAUGACUGUGAACAAUGUUGGUAAACAGACAUAUCUAAUGUUAUUAGAGAAUUUAACAUCAGAUAGAAGUCAUGUAAAAACUGCAUUUGCUGCUACUGCUGCUGUGAUAAUGUUGGUUAAUGAAAUGUUAUGUGAACAACUAAAGGCUUUCAGUUCACCAGCAUUAAUCACUACCACAGCUGUUGCUUUUUCUUCACUGGCGUAAGAGCUUCUUUACCAUAGUAAAUUCAAUUCAAUUCAAUUCAAUUUUAUUUAUAUAGCGCCAAAUCACAACAAGUUAUUUCAAGGCACUUUACAAAGUAAGGUUUAAAACCUCACACAACUAAACCCAACAAAUCCCACAUACAGCAAGCAUUUAAUUUGACAGCAACAGUGGAGAGGAAAAACUCCCUCUCUAACGAGGAAGAAACCUCCAGCAGAACCAGACUGGAUGUGGGCGGCCAUCUGCCUCGACCGGUUGGGGUGAGAGGAUAGAGAGAUAGAAAAGCACAGCAACAGCAACAAGCAACAACAAGCAACAACAGAGCACAGGCAGGAUGGUAGGACCAGGGACUGGAUGCAGGCAGGAUGGUUGGAUCCGCAGCUGCCCAUCACAGACACCAAACUUUGAGUCCAAUGAUACCUGUGGGUGAGGACAGAGAGGGAGAAAGAGUGGGGGUGGGGGGGAGAGAGGAGAGAAGCACAACUACUGGACAGAAAGAGACAAGGUUAGUUAAACAUGGGACAAUGAUGGGAGGUUAUGGGACAGAGGAGGUAGAAGGAAACAGAGGAGCUCAGUGUAUAAAUUAAGUCCCCCAGCAAAAUGAAACAUCAAAUAAUCAGCAGUCAGUAGUGACACCUUCAAUUAAUAAACUCAAUCACACCAUGCA